This 954-nucleotide ribosomal RNA is filed under the name uncultured Alteromonas sp. RNAcentral describes it as "bacterial SSU rRNA". It matches the Rfam family "Bacterial small subunit ribosomal RNA", at positions 67 to 1018 of the family's 1533-position model. The record is from RNAcentral. Lineage: Bacteria; Pseudomonadati; Pseudomonadota; Gammaproteobacteria; Alteromonadales; Alteromonadaceae.
CGGUAACAUUUCUAGCUUGCUAGAAGAUGACGAGUGGCGGACGGGUGAGUAAUGCUUGGGAACUUGCCUUUGCGAGGGGGAUAACAGUUGGAAACGACUGCUAAUACCGCAUAAUGUCUUCGGACCAAACGGGGCUUCGGCUCCGGCGCAAAGAGAGGCCCAAGUGAGAUUAGCUAGUUGGUAAGGUAACGGCUUACCAAGGCGACGAUCUCUAGCUGUUCUGAGAGGAAGAUCAGCCACACUGGGACUGAGACACGGCCCAGACUCCUACGGGAGGCAGCAGUGGGGAAUAUUGCACAAUGGGGGAAACCCUGAUGCAGCCAUGCCGCGUGUGUGAAGAAGGCCUUCGGGUUGUAAAGCACUUUCAGUUGUGAGGAAAAGUUAGUAGUUAAUACCUGCUAGCCGUGACGUUAACAACAGAAGAAGCACCGGCUAACUCCGUGCCAGCAGCCGCGGUAAUACGGAGGGUGCGAGCGUUAAUCGGAAUUACUGGGCGUAAAGCGCACGCAGGCGGUUUGUUAAGCUAGAUGUGAAAGCCCCGGGCUCAACCUGGGAUGGUCAUUUAGAACUGGCAGACUAGAGUCUUGGAGAGGGGAGUGGAAUUCCAGGUGUAGCGGUGAAAUGCGUAGAUAUCUGGAGGAACAUCAGUGGCGAAGGCGACUCCCUGGCCAAAGACUGACGCUCAUGUGCGAAAGUGUGGGUAGCGAACAGGAUUAGAUACCCUGGUAGUCCACACCGUAAACGCUGUCUACUAGCUGUGUGUGCCUUUAAGGCGUGCGUAGCGAAGCUAACGCGCUAAGUAGACCGCCUGGGGAGUACGGCCGCAAGGUUAAAACUCAAAUGAAUUGACGGGGGCCCGCACAAGCGGUGGAGCAUGUGGUUUAAUUCGAUGCAACGCGAAGAACCUUACCUACACUUGACAUGCUGAGAAGUUACUAGAGAUAGUUUCGUGCC